RNAcentral lists this long non-coding RNA (1164 nucleotides) under Homo sapiens (human). RNAcentral's name for it is "HSALNT0402233". Lineage: Eukaryota; Metazoa; Chordata; Mammalia; Primates; Hominidae. The record is from RNAcentral.
GACGGGAUGGUUGUGAGCGGGACAGAAACUCCACCACAAGGGUUCUGGGGGUACUACAGGGACUAAAGGAAGCAGUGUGAUCAGUGUGAAAGCAGCAAGGCCAUGAUUUAUUUCUUGGGCGUGUAGUUUUCUCCCGAGGCCUCUGCUUGGUUAUUUUACCCAGCAUCGGUGCCAAAGGAGAUUUCCCCAAAGGGAAAAGUACUGCAGUGCUCGACGCAUUACAGUCCUUUCCCGUUUGCAAGCUCUCCCACACAUUCCUUCUUCUGUUCCCAAAUCACAGGAGACGACGAGAAAGAGAACAGACCACCUGUCCAGAUAAUUUGCCUUUGGAGUCUGCAGGGCUGGUGAAGGCAUCCUGAGAUGGGGGAGGCCCCUGGGGACCUCCACAGUCAGGGCUCCCACCUCCUCUCCCACACCGCUCUGCCUCAUGCCCUGGGUUGCCUGUCUGACUGUCUCAAGACUGGGGGUUCUCCGGUGAGCAGAUGGCUGCUUAGCGUCUGAGGGGCAGACACCAUGCCGUGGUGACAGCGUGAUCCCUUGAUGGAAAGGCCACCAGAACCACUGGUAGUGCAGCUGGACACUGCGGAGCCCUGGGACCACACCCGCUGCCUCCCUCCAGACUCCUUAGGUCUAUGCCGUGUGCCUGGCUUUUUCCAACCACUCCGAAUUGAUCAUUUCCUAAUGACCACAUGGCUCAGAAACUCACAGCACAUCCUUCUAGGGGCCUCUUUCUCCCAAGUCCUCCCAGGGACUUGGCAGCUUCAUCUCUAAGGCCUGCAGAGGCUGUGGCUAUGGCUGUCCAUUGUUCUCGCUCCUUGGCUUCAGUUCAGAGCCAUCAAAUCCCUGCAGCUCGCACACUGGAACAUUCAUAUUUUGGAUAAGGCCUUUGCUGUCAGUGGAAUACAGCAACACACAAGACAGACACAGUUGCCUUCCCGCUGAGGCUGGACGUCUACAAAGAAACUCUGGACAGCUAUUUGCCAAGGCGAUGGGCACUACAGAUGAGACGCACAAAUGAUAUGACUCAUGGGUGACGCUGGGCAAACCUCGGUGGUUGAGUCCUGUUGGGUUUUCUCAUAGGAGCCAGGACGUUCUAUGGCUCCCAGCAGCUCCAGCCCUCAGAAGUCACCGGCCCUGAGGCUUCAGCUUUGUUAGCCUCCAGGU